RNAcentral lists this ribosomal RNA (480 nucleotides) under uncultured bacterium. RNAcentral describes it as "partial 16S ribosomal RNA". It matches the Rfam family "Bacterial small subunit ribosomal RNA", at positions 28 to 507 of the family's 1533-position model. The record is from RNAcentral.
GAUGAACGCUGGCGACGUGCCUAACACAUGCAAGUCGAGCGGAGAAGAAGAGAGUGAACUGUUCGGAGUGAACUUUAUUCGGAUCAGCGGCGGACGGGAGCGUAAUCCAUGAGGAACCUGACCUCUACAAGGGGAUAGCCGGGGGAAACUGCGAUCAAUACCCUAUGAGACGACGAAAGCGCAUGCCUUUGGGGUUAAAGAUUUAUCGGUAGUAGAUGGCCUCUUGACCCAUUAGCUAGUUGGUGAUUUAACAGACCACCAAGGCGACGGUGGGUAGCCGGCAUGAGAGAGUGACAGACCACAUUGGAGCUGCGACACAGUCCAGACUCCUACGGGAGGGAGGAGUGGAUAAUAUUGCACAAUGGGGGAAACCCUGAUGCAGCGACGUCGCGUAAGCGAAGAAGGCCUUCGUGUCGUAAAGCUCUGUCCUAUGGGAAGAAAGUGACGGUACCAGAGAAGGAAGCCCCGGCUAACUACGUG